GCCGGAUAGCUCAGUCGGUAGAGCAGGGGAUUGAAAAUCCCCGUGUCCUUGGUUCGAUUCCGAGUCCGGGCACCA
RNAcentral lists this transfer RNA (75 nucleotides) under Escherichia coli. RNAcentral describes it as "tRNA-Phe". It matches the Rfam family "tRNA". From Rfam's summary of the family: Transfer RNA (tRNA) molecules are approximately 80 nucleotides in length. RNAcentral also lists the same sequence under 4 other names. Lineage: Bacteria; Pseudomonadati; Pseudomonadota; Gammaproteobacteria; Enterobacterales; Enterobacteriaceae. The record is from RNAcentral.